UAAAUAAAAAAGUUUAUUUUAUUUAGAUAGACGAUAAGACCCUAAAACCUUUAUUGAGCAGUUAAUUCCCUUUUUGGUGGGGAGGCAAAAUACCUUCUCAUACUUUAUGAAAACAAAAUGAGUGAUUUUAAAUACCUUAAGGAUAAAUCCAAAGAGGUACUUUAGGGAUAACCGCAUAUUUUUUAUAUAGAGUUUACUUAUCGACAUAGAAGAUUAUGACCUCGAUGUUGAAUUGAUAUUACUUUACUAAGCACCCCUAGGAAUUUGUAGGUCUGUUCGACCUUUUAUCUAUCACAUGAUC
This 301-nucleotide ribosomal RNA is filed under the name Trachelipus aegaeus. Its description in RNAcentral is "partial 16S ribosomal RNA". Lineage: Eukaryota; Metazoa; Arthropoda; Malacostraca; Isopoda; Trachelipodidae. The record is from RNAcentral.